Molecule: ribosomal RNA, 500 nt
Filed under: uncultured bacterium
Lineage: Bacteria
Description: partial 16S ribosomal RNA
Rfam family: Bacterial small subunit ribosomal RNA
Source: RNAcentral
AUUGAACGCUGGCGGAAUGCUUUACACAUGCAGGUCGAACGGCAGCACGGACUUCGGUCUGGUGGCGGGUGGCGAACGGGUGAGUAAUGUAUCGGAACGUGCCCAGUCGUGGGGGAUAACGUAGUGAAAAUUACGCUAAUACCGCAUACGAUCUAUGGAUGAAAGCGGGGGAUCGCAAGACCUCGCGCGAUUGGAGCGGCCGAUAUCAGAUUAGGUAGUUGGUGGGGUAAAGGCCCACCAAGCCAACGAUCUGUAGCUGGUCUGAGAGGACGACCAGCCACACUGGAACUGAGACACGGUCCAGACUCCUACGGGAGGCAGCAGUGGGGAAUUUUGGACAAUGGGCGAAAGCCUGAUCCAGCCAUUCCGCGUGCAGGAUGAAGGCCCUCGGGUUGUAAACUGCUUUUGUACAGAACGAAAAGGUUUCUACUAAUACUAGGAGCUCAUGACGGUACUGUAAGAAUAAGCACCGGCUAACUACGUGCCAGCAGCCGCCGUAA